This 1372-nucleotide ribosomal RNA is filed under the name uncultured bacterium. Its description in RNAcentral is "bacterial SSU rRNA". It matches the Rfam family "Bacterial small subunit ribosomal RNA", at positions 28 to 1381 of the family's 1533-position model. The record is from RNAcentral.
GAUGAACGCUGGCGGCGUGCCUAAUACAUGCAAGUCGAGCGAACGGACGAGAAGCUUGCUUCUCUGAUGUUAGCGGCGGACGGGUGAGUAACACGUGGAUAACCUACCUAUAAGACUGGGAUAACUUCGGGAAACCGGAGCUAAUACCGGAUAAUAUUUUGAACCGCAUGGUUCAAAAGUGAAAGACGGUCUUGCUGUCACUUAUAGAUGGAUCCGCGCUGCAUUAGCUAGUUGGUAAGGUAACGGCUUACCAAGGCAACGAUGCAUAGCCGACCUGAGAGGGUGAUCGGCCACACUGGAACUGAGACACGGUCCAGACUCCUACGGGAGGCAGCAGUAGGGAAUCUUCAGCAAUGGGCGAAAGCCUGACGGAGCAACGCCGCGUGAGUGAUGAAGGUCUUCGGAUCGUAAAACUCUGUUAUUAGGGAAGAACAUAUGUGUAAGUAACUGUGCACAUCUUGACGGUACCUAAUCAGAAAGCCACGGCUAACUACGUGCCAGCAGCCGCGGUAAUACGUAGGUGGCAAGCGUUAUCCGGAAUUAUUGGGCGUAAAGCGCGCGUAGGCGGUUUUUUAAGUCUGAUGUGAAAGCCCACGGCUCAACCGUGGAGGGUCAUUGGAAACUGGAAAACUUGAGUGCAGAAGAGGAAAGUGGAAUUCCAUGUGUAGCGGUGAAAUGCGCAGAGAUAUGGAGGAACACCAGUGGCGAAGGCGACUUUCUGGUCUGUAACUGACGCUGAUGUGCGAAAGCGUGGGGAUCAAACAGGAUUAGAUACCCUGGUAGUCCACGCCGUAAACGAUGAGUGCUAAGUGUUAGGGGGUUUCCGCCCCUUAGUGCUGCAGCUAACGCAUUAAGCACUCCGCCUGGGGAGUACGACCGCAAGGUUGAAACUCAAAGGAAUUGACGGGGACCCGCACAAGCGGUGGAGCAUGUGGUUUAAUUCGAAGCAACGCGAAGAACCUUACCAAAUCUUGACAUCCUUUGACAACUCUAGAGAUAGAGCCUUCCCCUUCGGGGGACAAAGUGACAGGUGGUGCAUGGUUGUCGUCAGCUCGUGUCGUGAGAUGUUGGGUUAAGUCCCGCAACGAGCGCAACCCUUAAGCUUAGUUGCCAUCAUUAAGUUGGGCACUCUAAGUUGACUGCCGGUGACAAACCGGAGGAAGGUGGGGAUGACGUCAAAUCAUCAUGCCCCUUAUGAUUUGGGCUACACACGUGCUACAAUGGACAAUACAAAGGGCAGCGAAACCGCGAGGUCAAGCAAAUCCCAUAAAGUUGUUCUCAGUUCGGAUUGUAGUCUGCAACUCGACUACAUGAAGCUGGAAUCGCUAGUAAUCGUAGAUCAGCAUGCUACGGUGAAUACGUUCCCGGGUCU